UACGUAGGGGGCAAGCGUUGUCCGGAAUCAUUGGGCGUAAAGCGCGUGUAGGCGGCCCGAUAAGUCCGCUGUGAAAGUCCAGGGCUCAACCCUGGGAUGCCGGUGGAUACUGUCGGGCUCGAGUCCGGAAGAGGCGAGUGGAAUUCCUGGUGUAGCGGUGAAAUGCGCAGAUAUCAGGAGGAACACCGGUGGCGAAGGCGGGUCUCUGGGCCGUAACUGACGCUGAGGAGCGAAAGCAUGGGGAGCGAACAGG
This 253-nucleotide ribosomal RNA is filed under the name uncultured bacterium. RNAcentral describes it as "partial 16S ribosomal RNA". It matches the Rfam family "Bacterial small subunit ribosomal RNA", at positions 524 to 776 of the family's 1533-position model. The record is from RNAcentral.